GAUGAACGCUAGCUACAGGCUUAACACAUGCAAGUCGAGGGGCAGCGGUAUUGAAAGCUUGCUUUCGGUAGCCGGCGACCGGCGCACGGGUGAGUAACGCGUAUCGAACCUGCCUCAUACUCGGGAAUAGCCUUGCGAAAGUAAGAUUAAUGCCCGGUGUUUUCAGAGUCCCGCAUGAGGCUUUGAACAAAGAUUUAUCGGUAUGAGAUGGCGAUGCGUCCCAUUAGCUUGUUGGCGGGGUAACGGCCCACCAAGGCAUCGAUGGGUAGGGGUUCUGAGAGGAAGGUCCCCCACAUUGGAACUGAGACACGGUCCAAACUCCUACGGGAGGCAGCAGUGAGGAAUAUUGGUCAAUGGGCGGAAGCCUGAACCAGCCAAGUAGCGUGCAGGAAGACGGCCCUCCGGGUUGUAAACUGCUUUUAGUUGGGAAUAAAACGGGGCUCGUGAGCUCCCUUGCAUGUACCAUCAGAAAAAGGACCGGCUAAUUCCGUGCCAGCCGCCGCCGUAA
This 508-nucleotide ribosomal RNA is filed under the name uncultured bacterium. RNAcentral's name for it is "partial 16S ribosomal RNA". It matches the Rfam family "Bacterial small subunit ribosomal RNA", at positions 28 to 523 of the family's 1533-position model. The record is from RNAcentral.